Long non-coding RNA from Hippocampus zosterae (dwarf seahorse), 949 nucleotides. RefSeq lists it as uncharacterized. The record is from RefSeq and is a predicted model, not a curated record. The transcript has 2 exons. NCBI's taxonomy places the organism in Eukaryota, Metazoa, Chordata, Actinopteri, Syngnathiformes, Syngnathidae.
CGAAAAGAACAAAGAAGAGCAACUUAAAGAAGCUAAGCUAACUGGUAUUACCUGGUAACUAGUUAGAUGAUGUCAGCUAUACACUAGUUUUGAUCACGAGGAGGACAAAUUCAAAUGUUUGGCAUGCUUGGUGAAUGGUCAUUAGUGUCUGCUUACACCAGAGAGCCUGGCCAGCUGGUCUAUGACGUCUGAUGUGCCACUUGAUGGUAAACUACAUCAAGACCCCCGUGGCAGAGUCACCGAGGCCCAGCAACUCUUCUCCCCAGGCAGGAUGCAGAGGCUAUGGCGACCCCUCGGCAGAUGGAGCCUCCAGCGUUUCUCCUCUCCUGCAAAUAAAAAAAAAAAAAAAGAGAGCAAGCGCUGGAGCAAGCGCCAGAGAUGAGACACGGCCUGCCUCAGCCCAUCACAGAUGCCAGGAGAAGGCAGGGAUUUUGUCGAGCCCCCCUGCGAGGCGGGUCCAGUUGGAACAGGUGCAGUGUCGUCUCCCUCGGUCCCUUUGUCAGCACCUCAGUGGUGGAGCCUGUGCUCUCUUCCUGUCCCGACUCCUUCUCAUUCACACACUUGAGAGGUGUUGUGGGACUACUUCCAGCCCCUCCUGAAAGCCAACCGCAGAUCUGUCCAUGCAUCCUCGUUUCGAAAGGCCAGAUCCACCCCCAGCGUGGCAUUGUGUUCUUCCUUCAACAGGAAAAAAUAUUCAAGCAGAAGUGAGAGUUUCCGACCCCCACGGGUCAAACAGUUGAGUUGCGUUGCCCUCCUCUGCCUCUCCGAGAUACAAGGUCCAUGCAGUAUACCACGCAGGCGGCAGCCAUCGCCCUGUGUGAUGGAAAGGGUUUACGACAGGCGGCGAGGCCCGACGGGCCACCUUGACCUCUCUGCGCUCCGAGGACCUUGGUGAGCCUGGUCCCGUUGGCCCCCGGAAUCCCACCCCUGCGCCCCCACCCCUCAACCA